RNAcentral lists this ribosomal RNA (440 nucleotides) under uncultured bacterium. RNAcentral describes it as "partial 16S ribosomal RNA". It matches the Rfam family "Bacterial small subunit ribosomal RNA", at positions 338 to 795 of the family's 1533-position model. The record is from RNAcentral.
CCUACGGGUGGCUGCAGUCGGGAAUUUUGCGCAAUGGACGAAAGUCUGACGCAGCAACGCCGCGUGAGGGAUGACGGCCUUCGGGUUGUAAACCUCUUUUGUCAGGGACGAUGAUGACGGUACCUGACGAAUAAGCCACUGCUCACUACGUGCCAGCAGCCGCGGUAAUACGUAGGUGGCCAGCGUUAUCCGGAUUUACUGGGCGUAAAGAGCGCGCAGGCGGUCGUUCAAGUCGCGUGUGAAAGCCCCCGGCUCAACUGGGGAGGGUCACGCGAUACUGAUCGACUCGAAGGCAGGAGAGGGUAGUGGAAUUCCCGGUGUAGUGGUGAAAUGCGUAGAUAUCGGGAGGAACACCAGUGGCGAAGGCGACUACCUGGCCUGUUCUUGACGCUGAGGCGCGAAAGCUAGGGGAGCAAACGGGAUUAGAUACCCGAGUAGUC